This 789-nucleotide ribosomal RNA is filed under the name Triticum aestivum (bread wheat). RNAcentral describes it as "partial small subunit ribosomal RNA". The record is from RNAcentral. Lineage: Eukaryota; Viridiplantae; Streptophyta; Magnoliopsida; Poales; Poaceae.
AUGAGUUCUUCGUCAUCUUCAUCUGGCGACGAUGAACUCAUACUUGCAGCAUUCGCCGAGCGCGAGGAGGAAGAGAGGAAGAACGCUCGACGCCAUGGCGGUUCCAAGCAUGGACGUCAGUCAAUCGAUCGAGGAAGAGAUGCCGGAUUUCUUCUUCUGUGGGACGACUACUUCAAAGAAGUUCCUCGCUUUCCCAAACAUUUGUUUCGACGAAGAUUUAGGAUGUCGCGUACUUUGUUCAACCGCAUAGCUGAUGGUAUACUUGAGCAUGACUAUGAUGAUUAUUUUACGCAAAAAAGAAGUGCUUCUGGAGCUCUUGGGUUACAUCCUUUGCAAAAGAUGACCGCGGCGAUGCGGAUACUAACAUAUGGAAUAGCAGCUGAUUAUGUUGAUGAGUACAUCCGGUCCGCUGAGUCUACUAAUUUAGAGUCUUGCAAGAAAUUUGUGAUCAAAAUUUGUGAAGUUUUUGGGGAAAAGUACCUGAGAUCUCCAAAUGAAGAAGACAUUGCUAGGUUACUUGCAAUAGGGGAGGAAAGAGGAUUUCCCGAUGGUAUCUAUCCACGGUGGGCAACAUUUGUGAAGAGCAUACCAGCUCCAACUAGCAGAAAGCAUAAAACUUUUGCCAAGAAGCAAGAGGGGUCUAGGAAAGAUGUGGAACGAGCCUUUGGAGUUCUGCAAUCCCGUUUUGCCAUUGUUCAUGGACCUGCUAAAGGAUGGAAACGUAAAGAAAUCACUGAUGUCAUGAAAGCUUGUGUCAUAAUGCACAAUAUGAUAGUUGAAGAGGAGUGA